This 465-nucleotide ribosomal RNA is filed under the name Vreelandella stevensii. Its description in RNAcentral is "partial 16S ribosomal RNA". It matches the Rfam family "Bacterial small subunit ribosomal RNA", at positions 338 to 795 of the family's 1533-position model. Lineage: Bacteria; Pseudomonadati; Pseudomonadota; Gammaproteobacteria; Oceanospirillales; Halomonadaceae. The record is from RNAcentral.
CCUACGUGGGGCUGCAGUGGGGAAUAUUGGACAAUGGGCGAAAGCCUGAUCCAGCCAUGCCGCGUGUGUGAAGAAGGCCUUCGGGUUGUAAAGCACUUUCAGUGGGGAAGAAAGCCUUGGGGCUAAUACCCUCGAGGAAGGACAUCACCCACAGAAGAAGCACCGGCUAACUCCGUGCCAGCAGCCGCGGUAAUACGGAGGGUGCGAGCGUUAAUCGGAAUUACUGGGCGUAAAGCGCGCGUAGGCGGUCUGAUAAGCCGGUUGUGAAAGCCCCGGGCUCAACCUGGGAACGGCAUCCGGAACUGUCAGGCUAGAGUGCAGGAGAGGAAGGUAGAAUUCCCGGUGUAGCGGUGAAAUGCGUAGAGAUCGGGAGGAAUACCAGUGGCGAAGGCGGCCUUCUGGACUGACACUGACGCUGAGGUGCGAAAGCGUGGGUAGCAAACAGGAUUAGAUACCCUGGUAGUC